This 623-nucleotide long non-coding RNA is filed under the name Rattus norvegicus (Norway rat). RNAcentral's name for it is "long non-coding RNA NONRATT028886". The record is from RNAcentral. Lineage: Eukaryota; Metazoa; Chordata; Mammalia; Rodentia; Muridae.
GACUUGUUGAAUUAAUAAAACAAAACUCAGCAUGAACAGUGAAGGAAAAUGAAGAGUGCUCAGAGGGUUCUGUAUCUGUCACAUUGUUAAUUUGUGUAUUUAAAGAGUAUUUUCCUUUUACUGUUUUGUAGGGAAAAUCCAAUUGUGGGAAAAAUAUCAUAGUGUUUGAUCAACUGACGGAGAACUGGAAAAUACUCUUAUCAUCGAGUUUUUCAAUUCACCCCAUUUGUUCCAGUGUGUAAGAGCGGACAUUGGCUUUGAAGACACCUGCUCUUGCAAUGUAUUUAAUAUUUAAUGAUUGAAAUUAACUGGGGAUCCUGAUACUGAUGUGUUUAUUACUAAAGAAUUUGAAAACCAAGAUUUCCUUCAUAGCCAUGCAUCCAAAUCCAUGUCUCUGCAACUUCCUUUCAACAGAAAGGAUCUUUCUAAGGAACGUUCCCAAGAAGCUUUGUAAUAAGGGAGCACUUGCUAGCAAGAAGCCAUCUCUACUUGGAGCACUCCUGUGUCACUCACUACCAUCAGUGCCUGCCCUGUGCUGCCAACAUUGAGCUUCCAGAGAAUUCCAGCUCCUUGUCAGUUCGGAACUUUUCAUUAAGUUCAUCUGGACCUUCAAUCUUUACAAA